GACGAACGCUGGCGGCGUGCUUAACACAUGCAAGUCGAACGGAAAGGCCCUGCUUUUGUGGGGUGCUCGAGUGGCGAACGGGGGAGUAACACGUGAGUAACCUGCCCUUGACUUUGGGAUAACUUCAGGAAACUGGGGCUAAUACCGGAUAGGAGCUCCUGCUGCAUGGUGGGGGUUGGAAAGUUUCGGCGGUUGGGGAUGGACUCGCGGCUUAUCAGCUUGUUGGUGGGGUAGUGGCUGACCAAGGCUUUGACGGGUAGCCGGCCUGAGAGGGUGACCGGCCACAUUAGGACUGGGAUACGACCCAGACUCCUACGGGAGGCAGCAGAGGGGAAUAUUACCCAAUGGGCGGAAGCCUGAUGCAGCAACGCCGCGUGCGGGAUAACGGCCUUCGGGUUGUAAACCGCUUUCGCCUGUGACGAAGCGUGAGUGACGGUACUGGGUAAAGAAGCACCGGCUAACUACGUG
Molecule: ribosomal RNA, 468 nt
Filed under: uncultured bacterium
Lineage: Bacteria
Description: partial 16S ribosomal RNA
Rfam family: Bacterial small subunit ribosomal RNA
Source: RNAcentral